RNAcentral lists this ribosomal RNA (279 nucleotides) under uncultured bacterium. RNAcentral describes it as "partial 16S ribosomal RNA". It matches the Rfam family "Bacterial small subunit ribosomal RNA", at positions 506 to 784 of the family's 1533-position model. The record is from RNAcentral.
UGCCAGCAGCCGCGGUAAUACGUAGGGUGCGAGCGUUAAUCGGAAUUACUGGGCGUAAAGCGUGCGCAGGCGGUGCUGUAAGACCGAUGUGAAAUCCCCGGGCUUAACCUGGGAACUGCAUUGGUGACUGCAGCGCUGGAGUAUGGCAGAGGGGGGUGGAAUUCCACGUGUAGCAGUGAAAUGCGUAGAGAUGUGGAGGAACACCGAUGGCGAAGGCAGCCCCCUGGGCCAAUACUGACGCUCAUGCACGAAAGCGUGGGGAGCAAACAGGAUUAGAUA